This is a long non-coding RNA of Lates calcarifer (barramundi perch), 721 nucleotides long. RefSeq lists it as uncharacterized. The record is from RefSeq and is a predicted model, not a curated record. The transcript has 4 exons. Lineage: Eukaryota; Metazoa; Chordata; Actinopteri; Centropomidae.
UUAUUGAGGGGCUAUCAGACAGCAGAGUUUGACGAUAAUUCUUCACAUAUUUUGCAGAUGGAGGGGGGUGAUGGUGGAUGGCUGACAGCUAAGAGCAUCGCCUGCUGUUCUCUGCUGCAUGGAAUCUUGUAGCUGCUCUCUUCAUGCCACAGUUAAUUGCUGGAAUCUGCUGAACUGAGGGGACCUCAUCUCUCAUAAAGCCUGAUUAUUCUCAGUCUGUCUGUUUUUGAGAGAAGCACAGGACCAGCCAAAUGGAGGAAUGUGUUCUUCCAGAGACACCAAAGCCCAGUCCCAUCAUCGCCUCCUUCCAACAGGAAAUCACAAGCCCAGUUACACCAGUGUUUCCCCUCAGCUUUCCUCCUCCCUGUUCCCAGUCCUACCCGGAACGCUGCUGCCCACUGACAGAUUGGAUACAUGGAGGGAUAGACAGGAACAACCCUAUUCUUCUCUCCCUCCUUCUGUAGUAAAUAAGACUAGCCCCUUAGGAGGCCAUCCUGGCAUGCUGAAAGAAAUAUUCUGAACUUCCUGUGACCCAGAAGGAAGAACAAACACCCAGGACCCUUGUAAUGCAGGUGUCCAAGGUCUGAAACUCAAAGGGUCCUCACAAGGAUAGAGGACAUAACAGAUCUGUGGAAACUCCCAUAUUGUCCUUGGUGACUGCCACACUCCAAUGUCCCAAGAAAUGUUGUAAAAUCAAACAAAUAAAAGUUCUGACAUCACU